This 526-nucleotide unclassified non-coding RNA is filed under the name Hevea brasiliensis (rubber tree). Lineage: Eukaryota; Viridiplantae; Streptophyta; Magnoliopsida; Malpighiales; Euphorbiaceae. The record is from RNAcentral.
UAUCUUUUCUCUCAUCGGUCUAAAUAUAUUUAUUGUUACUUGUUCUAAUAUGAAUGGAAACAGUGUUUGAACCCUCACCCAAUUUUUGUUGUUUAUUUUUGUGUUAUUUAGGCUGCAUGUGAAGGAAGUUCUCCUUGUACCACUUUUUGAUGUUGGUGUUCUUCAAAUAUUCUAUGUCAACAUCUCCACAAUAAUCAUUUUAUAUUUCUCUGUUUCGUGUACAGCUCGGACUAGUAGAGAAGAACAUCAUAAAUUAUGACUUUAAUCUGGUCGUAUCAGAGCCCAGUGAUCCCAACACAAAUAGCACUACUCUUUUCUCGGAUGAUACCGAUGAUAAGUCAUGGAAGUGUGUUAAUCCAGAAAUAUGUCCCUCUACUAUGCUGCAAGAAGAAGCAAGAUGCAAGGUGGAAAAGCAAGUUCUUUUGAAGUUACUUUUGAAAGCGUUUCUAGCACAUUCAUGUAAUCACCAAAAUUUAAGUUGCUAAUAUCAUUGAUGAAUGCUAUCUCAUGACUUGUUCUUUCGGGA